UUCAGGAAAAAAGAAGAGCUAGGACAAAGUUGAAGCAGACGGAGUUGGAUUGUGAGAUUUUAAAGAGAUGUUGUGAGACACUGACAGAAGAAAAUAGGAGGUUGCAAAAGGAAUUAGGAGCUUUGAAAAUUUCCAUUUGGAAAAGGGGACUUUGAGGAACUAUCUAAUGUAAUUAAUUAAUUUAUAUAUACAGAGAGAGAGAGAGAGAAUAUAGUUUGGAGGUUUAUUUCAUCCCUCUCUAACGCACUUCAUUGGUUUGGUAUGAUUUCAUUGCUCAUGUCGUUUAAAGAGUCAAGAAUUAAUACUUAAGGAAUCAAAUUCCUCUAUCAAAAUUUUUAAAUAAAAAUUAAUUAAUUACAUUAGAU
Molecule: unclassified non-coding RNA, 365 nt
Filed under: Hevea brasiliensis (rubber tree)
Lineage: Eukaryota; Viridiplantae; Streptophyta; Magnoliopsida; Malpighiales; Euphorbiaceae
Source: RNAcentral